RNAcentral lists this ribosomal RNA (302 nucleotides) under uncultured bacterium. Its description in RNAcentral is "partial 16S ribosomal RNA". It matches the Rfam family "Bacterial small subunit ribosomal RNA", at positions 508 to 807 of the family's 1533-position model. The record is from RNAcentral.
GCAGCAGCCACGGGAAUACGAAGGGUGCAAGCGUUGUCCGGAAUUAUUGGGCGUAAAGGGCUCGCAGGCGGUUUCUUAAGUCUGAUGUGAAAGCCCCCGGCUCAACCGGGGAGGGUCAUUGGAAACUGGGAAACUUGAGUGCAGAAGAGGAGAGUGGAAUUCCACGUGUAGCGGUGAAAUGCGUAGAGAUGUGGAGGAACACCAGUGGCGAAGGCGACUCUCUGGUCUGUAACUGACGCUGAGGAGCGAAAGCGUGGGGAGCGAACAGGAUUAGAUACCCCGGUAGUCCCUGUCUCUUAUAC